UGAGGGUCGUUCACGUAACCCAAAUACUGCUUGCGUU
RNAcentral lists this ribosomal RNA (37 nucleotides) under Melipona beecheii. RNAcentral describes it as "partial 5.8S ribosomal RNA". Lineage: Eukaryota; Metazoa; Arthropoda; Insecta; Hymenoptera; Apidae. The record is from RNAcentral.